Molecule: ribosomal RNA, 253 nt
Filed under: uncultured bacterium
Lineage: Bacteria
Description: partial 16S ribosomal RNA
Rfam family: Bacterial small subunit ribosomal RNA
Source: RNAcentral
UACGAAGGGGGCUAGCGUUGUUCGGAAUUACUGGGCGUAAAGGGCGCGUAGGCGGUGUGUCAAGUCAGGCGUGAAAGCCCCGGGCUCAACCUGGGAACAGCGCUUGAGACUGGCACGCUCGAGUUCGGGAGAGGAUGGUGGAAUUCCCAGUGUAGAGGUGAAAUUCGUAGAUAUUGGGAAGAACACCGAUGGCGAAGGCAGCCAUCUGGACCGACACUGACGCUGAGGCGCGAAAGCAUGGGGAGCGAACAGG